This 407-nucleotide ribosomal RNA is filed under the name uncultured bacterium. RNAcentral's name for it is "partial 16S ribosomal RNA". It matches the Rfam family "Bacterial small subunit ribosomal RNA", at positions 30 to 526 of the family's 1533-position model. The record is from RNAcentral.
AUUGAACGCUGGCGGCAGGCCUAAAACAUGCAAGUCGAGCGGAGCGGCGGACGGGGGGGUAAUGCCUAGGAAUCUGCCUGGUGGUGGGGAAUACCGUCCGGAAACGGGCGCUAAUACCGCAUACUAUCAGAUGAGCCUGGGUCGGAUUAGCUAGUUGGUGGGGUAAAAGCCUACCAAGGCGACGAUCCGUAACUGGUCUGAGAGGAUGAUCAGUCACACUGGAACUGAGACACGGUCCAGACUCCUACGGGAGGCAGCAGUGGGGAAUAUUGGACAAUGGGCGAAAGCCUGAUCCAGCCAUGCCGCGUGUGUGAAGAAGGUCUUCGGAUUGUAAAGCACUUUAAGUUGGGAGGCGUUACCAACAGAAUAAGCACCGGCUAACUCCGUGCCAGCAGCCGCGGUAAUAC